GACAAACGCUGGCGGCGUGCUUAACACAUGCAAGUCGAACGGAAAGGCCCUGCUUUUGUGGGGUGCUCGAGUGGCGAACGGGUGAGUAACACGUGAGUAACCUGCCCUUGACUUUGGGAUAACUUCAGGAAACUGGGGCUAAUACCGGAUAGGAGCUCCUGCUGCAUGGUGGGGGUUGGAAAGUUUCGGCGGUUGGGGAUGGACUCGCGGCUUAUCAGCUUGUUGGUGGGGUAGUGGCUUACCAAGGCUUUGACGGGUAGCCGGCCUGAGAGGGUGACCGGCCACAUUGGGACUGAGAUACAGCCCAGACUCCUACGGGAGGCAGCAGUGGGGAAUAUUGCACAAUGGGCGGAAGCCUGAUGCAGCAACGCCGCGUGCGGGAUGACGGCCUUCGGGUUGUAAACCGCUUUCGCCUGUGACGAAGCGUGAGUGACGGUAAUGGGUAAAGAAGCACCGGCUAACUACGUG
Molecule: ribosomal RNA, 468 nt
Filed under: uncultured bacterium
Lineage: Bacteria
Description: partial 16S ribosomal RNA
Rfam family: Bacterial small subunit ribosomal RNA
Source: RNAcentral